UACGGGGGGAGCAAGCGUUGUUCGGAUUUACUGGGCGUAAAGGGCGCGUAGGCGGUCAGCACAAGUCAGUUGUGAAAUCUCCGGGCUUAACUCGGAAAGGUCAACUGAUACUGUGCGACUAGAGUGCAGAAGGGGCAACUGGAAUUCCCGGUGUAGCGGUGAAAUGCGCAGAUAUCGGGAAGAACACCCGUGGCGAAGGCGGCUCUCUGGGACGGUACUGACGCUGAGACGCGAAAGCGUGGGGAGCGAACAGG
This 254-nucleotide ribosomal RNA is filed under the name uncultured bacterium. Its description in RNAcentral is "partial 16S ribosomal RNA". It matches the Rfam family "Bacterial small subunit ribosomal RNA", at positions 524 to 776 of the family's 1533-position model. The record is from RNAcentral.